Long non-coding RNA from Hemicordylus capensis (graceful crag lizard), 1078 nucleotides. RefSeq lists it as uncharacterized. Lineage: Eukaryota; Metazoa; Chordata; Lepidosauria; Squamata; Cordylidae. The transcript is spliced from 3 exons. The record is from RefSeq and is a predicted model, not a curated record.
AAGUAAGGGUGAUGCUGUGGCAGCUGUUGCAAGUUACAAUAAUUAUGUGUAAGAGAACAACUUAUGUCAAUGAUGUUACUGCAGUGUGGCACUGUGGUUGGCAAUGGAUUCUGGAUAAGUGGUUUGUUGGAUUUUUUGUGGCCGUUUCUGGGCUGUGUUUGAAAAUGUGUGUUCUGUGUUGAGAGGGGCAGAUAACUUUUACUAUAUGCUUCUGAGUUUUUAUAUGCUGGGUUGCAAAUGCAUUGCAAACUGCAUUAGAGAACUGUUCCGGCCAUAGAGAACAAUGAGGAACUUGAAACACCCCAUUUUCCCCAUGCGUGGCUCCUAGGGACACCAAAGUGGGUUGGGUGGUUGUAGGGCAUGAUGGGUGCAACUAUGUAUUACCCAACCCACAAAAGAAAUGGACAAGUGAGGUGAUUUUAAUUGAUUUAACCUAUUUAAUAUUUUAGCAAAGGUUUUUUCCCCUCCUUUUUCAAAAUCAGGUCCUUUCUUAGUGCAAAGUUUGUCAGCUGCAUUUUACUGUUUGACUAACCAAAAUUGCGUUCCUAUAUUAGGAUACAGCAAGUGGUUCGUUAACUGGUUCAGGUAGUACCAAUUAUUGCUCUUUUUCUGUCCCUAACCAAGGACAUGCAAUAGUUGUAACUGCACAAUUUCUCAUAGGCUUAAGGGUUCAAUAAGUCAGCACAGACCAGCUCAAGUCCUUUUAGAGGGAUGAAACAUCUGCACCAUGCUGAACAGAGGCGCUUAUCUCGAUUCUGUAGGGGACAGCAGAUCAUGACCCUUCUGACAGAAAGCAUGAAGUCUGUCUCAAUGGAAAUAAGCUACUUGUCCAGAAUGAUUGCCAAAACAAUAUCCAGAAAAUAUAGUCUGCUUUAAGGAAGUGGAAGAAUUGUUGGGCACAAACGUGAGAGACUGAGAGCAAACAAAUCAUGCUGGAGUUUGUUCCACCUACCUUCUUUACUACAACAUGGGUAUACCUGCUUGCCUCCACCACGGUAGUUUGCAGAUCCACCCCAGCCAGCUGACUCAAUCCAAACUCACUCCUCUUGUAUAGAUCUCUCUGUCCUCUCCCCUGCCU